Molecule: ribosomal RNA, 252 nt
Filed under: uncultured bacterium
Lineage: Bacteria
Description: partial 16S ribosomal RNA
Rfam family: Bacterial small subunit ribosomal RNA
Source: RNAcentral
UACGUAGGGAGCGAGCGUUGUCCGGAAUUACUGGGUGUAAAGGGAGCGUAGGCGGGCGAGAAAGUUGAAUGUUAAAUCUACCGGCUUAACUGGUAGCUGCGUUCAAAACUUCUUGUCUUGAGUGAAGUAGAGGCAGGCGGAAUUCCUAGUGUAGCGGUGAAAUGCGUAGAUAUUAGGAGGAACAUCAGUGGCGAAGGCGGCCACCUGGACCGGUAUUGACGCUGAGGCGCGAAAGCGUGGGGAGCAAACAGG